GGACCCGCACAAGCGGUGGAGCAUGUGGUUUAAUUCGAUGCAACGCGAAAAACCUUACCUACUCUUGACAUACUUGGAAGCUCUUGUAAUGAGAGUGUGCCUUUUGGAGCCAAGAUACAGGUGCUGCAUGGCUGUCGUCAGCUCGUGUCGUGAGAUGUUCCGUUAAGUCGGAUAACGAGCGCAACCCUUACCCUUAUUUGCCAGCGAUUCGGUCGGGAACUAUAAGGGGACUGCCGGUGAUAAACCGGAGGAAGGUGAGGACGACGUCAAGUCAUCAUGGCCCUUACGAGUAGGGCUACACACGUGCUACAAUGGCCGGUACAGAGAGCAGCCACUACGCGAGUAGCGCG
RNAcentral lists this ribosomal RNA (350 nucleotides) under uncultured bacterium. RNAcentral describes it as "bacterial SSU rRNA". It matches the Rfam family "Bacterial small subunit ribosomal RNA", at positions 917 to 1269 of the family's 1533-position model. The record is from RNAcentral.